UUUUCCUCUUUUCUAAAUUUCGUAUUUUCGUGUUUAAAACGUGUGCCUUUAUAAUUAUUCGAAACGUAUGAGUAAUAAUCUGUGUAUACGUAUAGUACGUAAUAGCGUGUAUCGCGUGUACGCGGAUCAACAAUUAUUACGCGAUACGAGAGACGAUUGGAAGCGGCGGUGGAACGUGUCCCCCAUUUGCGGGCACGUGCGUGCAUGUGGUUGCUCGAAUUGGAGAGAAAAAGUGUGGAUCAGUCAGCGAGGCCAAGUCGGUCGCGAUAUACGUAGAUAUGCAUCCGUGCCUGCGAACCGUUGUUUUUUUUCUUCGUCCAACGGCCGGUACAAAGGUUAACGUGCAACUCCCGGUAAUACCAGGAGAACGCCAGGGAUCACGACAGCUGAUGGGGACACAGCUCGAGGAACGAUCAAUAAUAUAAUAGCCCGUCGCCCCGGGUACCACCGCGCUAUCGUGCCAUCGAAACUUGGGCCGGCUUUCAUGCUCCUCGAUCUCGUGCUUUAUCGCGUACGUCUUUUCGUAUUUUUUUCUUUCUCUCUCUCUCUCUCUUUCUCUCUCUUUUUACAGGACAGACCGUGAACGACGCUCGCUCCCUCUACUUUGACGAGGAUGAGGAGAAAGCUGAUGUUUUGGAAAAUAGCGUGGGCAAUUUUUCUUUUUAAGAAAUUGAGAGAUCGAGCGGAUGAAUUAGAUGAUAGACAAAUGGAGGAAAGUAAGUGGCAAGUUUCGAGGGGAUCGAAACAUCGUUGUUUUCGUUGAAUGGAGAAGGAGGUUUCGAUGUAGAUGGGGGAUGACAUUGAGUUUGAAUCUAGUGCUGCCAUCUAGUGGUGCCGUGUAUCGACAAAGAACGUGUUUUAAGUAUUUUUAUCCUAUACGCAACGAAUUUGGAAUUUACGAUACGAAUUAUGUACGAACGAGUAGUAUUCCAAAUUAGUUUUAUUGAAAUUCUCUUUUGCGAUUUUAAUUUAGCCCGCGUGUAAUUCAGCGAAUUUACUAUUUCGAUUCCAUCGGUGAGUAAUAUAGGGAUUUACUUUUUCUCGUGGCUCGGAUAGAUUACUUCCUUACCAGUAUAUGGUAAUAUCAAUUUUUGUAAUUUGAUAGGAACACGAACAAAAAUAAAUUAAAAUAUUUUUAUUUAAAAUAAUUUCAAUAUUGUUCGAUUUCCUCGAUAAUUGAAAUGUAACGAUAUAUAAUGGAUGUAUGAUCCGUAUAUAUAUUAUUUUGAAUACUUUUUGUUUGUCAAAUUUCAACAGGAACGGGUAAUAAAUGAAUUAAACAAGGAUAAUUUUUUAUAUAAAUAAUAUUUAUUUAUUCAUAUUACACAUUAUUCAUCUAUUAAUCCAAAUAUAAUAAUUUAAUUAACAAUUAAAUAACCUAAAUCUAGCUUAAAAACAAUUAAAAACAAUUUUAAAUCUAUAAACGCUACGGCAUAUACUAUUGUUAAAUACAAAAUCAUUUAUGAUACAAUAUAUUGCGUGGCAUGUGUACAUGUGCGUACAUCUAUGUAUUUACUAUCUAGAAAUAAUUCUUCUUUAGAAUUCUCUAUGUAUUGCUUGCGGAUAAAGCCGAUGACUCGAUUCUAAAGCUCUAAACAUCUUCUCAUAGGAUCGUUCGAAAAGCUUUGAUAGUACGUCAGGAUGAUUUAUUAUUACGAAUGUGUCGCCAUGCAUUGCAAUCUAGAGUCGCGUGGCAUGUCAUCCGUAAGAUACCUGUAGAGACGAGCUUCUGAUAUUUACAAUUCUACAAAAGCCCGGAUCUACAGGGUAGAUCACGAAUGUGCCUAUCUUAUGCAACCACACUUUUUUCGGCCAUUGUCUCUUCUAGGUAGCGAGAUCUGCAACACAGAAGCUCAGUUUUUUUUAUUACAGCCAGUCUACGAACGAAUUCUCGGUCUUAAAUCCUAAAUCCUAAUCAAAUUUUGCAUUCCUAUUUACAAACAGCAGGACACUAUCGUUAAAAUUCAAAAAGAAAAAAAAAAAGACGAAAUUUGAAUCGAAUUCUUACUGCCUGUAAAUUCCAGGAUUUAAAAACCAACGUUCUCGAGACUUUACGGGCAGGCAGUCCAUUUUCGGCGUCGAAGCUACGGUCGAGGUUAUGUUCGGUCACACGCGUGUACACUCGCGUUUCCGAUUCGCUGAAUUACACUUUUCGAGCGCAUCGAUCCAGUCAUUAAAUUACCAUUCGAUUUGAACGACGGGAAGAAUUAUCCCCCGGGUUUGAAUACGAAUCGAGUGUAAUGGCGUUGCAACAGUGGAUAGUAAUCGAGAAUUAAUUGCGCGAUGCCGAUCGCAAAGUGAUCAAGCGAGCAACGACACGUAUGAAUAACCGUACGGGCAUGACUAUAUAAAGCCGGAGGGGAUUAGAAAUUUCGCCCCGGCCACCGAACCGUACGUGACGCCGGAAAACCUCCACUAAAAUCGGACGUGAUCCCGCAUGCAUAUCCGGAAUACGAGCCGAAGAAAGCCGUGAAUUAAUCGCUUCGACGACAUCGAUUUCGUGAUUUUUAAUCGCCCGUUCGACGAAUAUCGUAUUGUUUCCAUUCGACAAAUUUUACCGUCCAUUCUUCUUCGACGGGUGUUUACGAACAUUUUGUAAUCUUUAAUCAAGCCGUGUAUUUUAAGAAGACGAGAAUUUCGUUAAUUCUUAUUAUUAUUAUCAUCUUCGCCAUAAAAGUUAAUAGUACGAACGUUGACAAUUAGAGGGCCAAUAGUCGUGUUUCCUCUUCGAUUAAUUUCCAGUGGUACCAAACUUAAACAAAUUAAAAAAAAAA
This 2774-nucleotide long non-coding RNA is filed under the name Apis mellifera (honey bee). RNAcentral describes it as "uncharacterized LOC113219315". Lineage: Eukaryota; Metazoa; Arthropoda; Insecta; Hymenoptera; Apidae. The record is from RNAcentral.